UGGGGAAUAUUGGACAAUGGGCGCAAGCCUGAUCCAGCAAUGCCGCGUGUGUGAAGAAGGCCUUCGGGUUGUAAAGCACUUUUAUCAGGAGCGAAAACGCUGUCGGCUAAUACCCGGCGGAACUGACGGUACCUGAGGAAUAAGCACCGGCUAACUUCGUGCCAGCAGCCGCGGUAAUACGAAGGGUGCAAGCGUUAAUCGGAAUUACUGGGCGUAAAGCGUGCGUAGGCGGUUUCUUAAGUCUGCUGUGAAAUCCCCGGGCUCAACCUGGGAAUGGCAGUGGAUACUGGGAGGCUAGAGUGUGUCAGAGGGUGGUGGAAUUCCCGGUGUAGCGGUGAAAUGCGUAGAGAUCGGGAGGAACAUCAGUGGCGAACGGCGGCCACCUGGGACAACACUGACGCUGAGGCACGAAAGCGUGGGGAGCAAACAGGAUUAGAUACCCUGGUAGUCCACGCCCUAAAGCGAUGCGAACUGGAUGUUGGUCUCAACUCGGAGAUCAGUNUCGAAGCUAACGCGUUAAGUUCGCCGCCUGGGGAGUACGU
RNAcentral lists this ribosomal RNA (542 nucleotides) under uncultured bacterium. Its description in RNAcentral is "partial 16S ribosomal RNA". It matches the Rfam family "Bacterial small subunit ribosomal RNA", at positions 355 to 885 of the family's 1533-position model. The record is from RNAcentral.